RNAcentral lists this ribosomal RNA (422 nucleotides) under uncultured bacterium. RNAcentral's name for it is "bacterial SSU rRNA". It matches the Rfam family "Bacterial small subunit ribosomal RNA", at positions 355 to 774 of the family's 1533-position model. The record is from RNAcentral.
UGAGGAAUAUUGGUCAAUGGACGAGAGUCUGAACCAACCAAAUCGCGUGAAGGAAGACUGCCCUACGGGUUGUAAACUUCUUUUGUACAGGAAUAAAAGACAUUACGUGUAAUGUAUUGCAUGUACUGUACGAAUAAGCAUCGGCUAACUCCGUGCCAGCAGCCGCGGUAAUACGGAGGAUGCGAGCGUUAUCCGGAUUUAUUGGGUUUAAAGGGUGCGUAGGCGGCGAUAUAAGUCAGUGGUGAAAUAUUUCGGCUUAACCGAGAGACUACCAUUGAUACUGUGUUGCUAGAAUAUGGUUGCUGUGAGUGGAAUGUGUGGUGUAGCGGUGAAAUGCUUAGAUAUCACACAGAAUAUCGAUUGCGAAGGCAGCUCACAAAGCCAUUAUUGACGCUGAGGCACGAAAGUGUGGGGAUCAAACA